Molecule: ribosomal RNA, 253 nt
Filed under: uncultured bacterium
Lineage: Bacteria
Description: partial 16S ribosomal RNA
Rfam family: Bacterial small subunit ribosomal RNA
Source: RNAcentral
UACGUAGGGUGCAAGCGUUGUCCGGAAUUAUUGGGCGUAAAGAGCUCGUAGGCGGUUUGUCGCGUCUGCUGUGAAAACUCGGGGCUUAACCCCGGGCCUGCAGUGGGUACGGGCAGACUAGAGUGCGGUAGGGGAGACUGGAAUUCCUGGUGUAGCGGUGAAAUGCGCAGAUAUCAGGAGGAACACCGUUAGCGAAGGCGGCGACCUGGGCUCAUUCUGACGCUGAGGCGCGAAAGCGUGGGGAGCGAACGGA